This 95-nucleotide transfer RNA is filed under the name Pleodorina starrii. RNAcentral describes it as "tRNA-Met". The record is from RNAcentral. Lineage: Eukaryota; Viridiplantae; Chlorophyta; Chlorophyceae; Chlamydomonadales; Volvocaceae.
UGCGGAGGUGGCGCAGUUGGUUAGCGGUAGGUUUCAUUUUUUUUGUAUUUUUUUUUUUUAUCCUAAGGUCGAGGGUUCGAACCCCUUUUUUGCAA